GUGGGGAAUAUUGGUCAAUGGGGGAAACCCUGAACCAGCAACGCCGCGUGAAGGAAGAAGGCCUUCGGGUUGUAAACUUUUUUGACGAGGGACGAUAAUGACGGUACCUCGAAAACAAGCUCCGGCUAACUACGUGCCAGCAGCCGCGGUAAUACGUAGGGAGCGAGCGUUGUCCGGAAUUACUGGGUGUAAAGGGCGCGUAGGCGGGGAUACAAGUCAGAUGUGAAAUAUCCAGGCUCAACCUGGGGGCUGCAUUUGAAACUGUAUUUCUUGAGUGAUGGAGAGGCAGGCGGAAUUCCGAGUGUAGCGGUGAAAUGCGUAGAUAUUCGGAGGAACACCAGUGGCGAAGGCGGCCUGCUGGACAUUAACUGACGCUGAGGCGCGAAAGCGUGGGGAGCAAACAGGAUUAGAUACCCCAGUAGUCC
RNAcentral lists this ribosomal RNA (425 nucleotides) under uncultured bacterium. RNAcentral describes it as "partial 16S ribosomal RNA". It matches the Rfam family "Bacterial small subunit ribosomal RNA", at positions 354 to 796 of the family's 1533-position model. The record is from RNAcentral.